This is a long non-coding RNA of Bubalus bubalis (water buffalo), 1704 nucleotides long. RefSeq lists it as uncharacterized. The record is from RefSeq and is a predicted model, not a curated record. The transcript is spliced from 3 exons. NCBI's taxonomy places the organism in Eukaryota, Metazoa, Chordata, Mammalia, Artiodactyla, Bovidae.
ACCAUUACCUAAACCCAUCCUACAUAGGAAUUCUUGAGAUGCUGCUUUUCCAGAGGAAUAGUCUGAGCUGUGCUGGGAGAUGACAUAACCUUGUGAGGAGAAAAGACUUGGCACCCUGGGCUGAGCUGGAAUUCCAGGUUUUCCAUCUUCUGCCUGUGUAACUUAUUGGCAGAUCAGUUAUCCUCCCCAAGCCUCAGUGUCUGGUUAGAAAUAGAUGCUAGAGUUGUCAGGAUUAGUAUAUAGAGGUUACUUUGCAGAGGAUGACCAACAUUGCUCAUUUCAGAAGGUGAGGAAGUUUUUGGCCUGUGACAGGACUUAAUGUCUUGCAGGUAUAGCUGUCUAAGAUAAGGUUUUUUAAUAGCAAAGGGGAGAGAACAGAGUGGCUAAAAUCCAGAGCCUACACAGGAGAUAUUUAUAACAUGCUACUCAAAAAACCGAGUCCCAUAGAAUAUUUCUAGCACCACACUUUCCAAACAUUUGCCAUUAAGGCCCACAUGGACCUUGUUACCGAACCAGGUUGAUCUUGCAAGAUUUGCAGGCAGCAAGCCAAAACGUUGAAUUCUCUAGGCCAGAAUACUGAAGUGGGUAGCAUUCCCCUUCUCCAGGGGAUCUUCCCAACCCAGGGAUCAAACCCAGGUCUCCUGCAUUACAGGCAGAUUUUUUACCAGCUGAGCCACAAGGGAAGCCCUGAAGAGAGAGUUCUCACAAUCCUUCACAUUCUCAAAUCUCACAUUCCUUCCUGAAGGCAAGGGCUCAGGGUAUUGAUGGGAUAAAGAAUGAAGAAGCAGGACCAUCUGAGGCUUGGAGCUUGAUGAGUGUUGGGGGAGGUGCUUGGGGAAAGGCGUGGUAAUUGUAGUUCUGAGCAGGAGUAAUUGAGCUACAAGCCUCUGCAUGAGGCCACUAGGAUGGCCUGAGGGUUGAGUUUUUGGUUCCCUGACAUCAAAAAUUCAGGAAUUGGACACUUGCGCAUGCCCAGUUGGAAGGUUGUUGGUCCCAUCCAAUCUUAGCCACUUGCACCAGACACAGCUGACUCUAAAUUCCUGGAGAAAAAAACUCAGCAAACAUCUCAUUUAGGCCUUUUCUGACUUGGAACACAUGCAAGUCUUUUUUUUGUAGCAACAGUUAAAACAAACUUGAUGGGUGAAGGCAGGUCCCAGGUGAAAUGGAUUUAUCUAAUGAUUCCUUUCACUUGUAGCACCCCACUGGAGGGGAUUGGAAAGGAGAUGAAGCUGCUCAUGGCUGAAGGCCCAGUGCUCUUGAGGAAUGAGAGAGCUGUAUAGUGUACCUAGGAACACUACCUGCUAUCCUGUGGCUAACUAGGUAGGAAGCACUGCCCAAGGUGCUCUACUGAUUGGAGAAGAUCUCUAUGAACAUGGAGAGAACUUGCUAGAAAAGUUCAGACUACCUUCUGCGUGCUGGAGAAAUUUGGAGAUCAGUCAUUCUUAAACAUGAAUACUUACUGCUAGUGGUUGGAGGAAGUUCUUUUGGCUGCCUUGGGUCUUCGUUGCUGUUUGCAGGCUCUCUAAUUGCAGUGAGCAGGCUUCUGACUGCAGUGAUGUCAGUGUUACUUUCCCAGGACCCACUGAGAUGUGCACCCAGAGUACCUUAAAGCGGUCCCAUGAACUGGCCAGUGGGGUUGGGCAUUGGUCAUGUAUGGAUGUGAGAGUUGGACUGUGAAGACAGCUGAGCGCUGAAGAAUUGAUG